GGAAUAUUGGACAAUGGGCGCAAGCCUGAUCCAGCCAUACCGCGUGGGUGAAGAAGGCCUUCGGGUUGUAAAGCCCUUUUGUUGGGAAAGAAAAGCAGUCGGUUAAUACCCGAUUGUUCUGACGGUACCCAAAGAAUAAGCACCGGCUAACUUCGUGCCAGCAGCCGCGGUAAUACGAAGGGUGCAAGCGUUACUCGGAAUUACUGGGCGUAAAGCGUGCGUAGGUGGUUGAUUAAGUCUGUCGUGAAAGCCCUGGGCUCAACCUGGGAAUUGCGAUGGAAACUGGUUGACUAGAGUGUGGCAGAGGGUAGUGGAAUUCCUGGUGUAGCAGUGAAAUGCGUAGAGAUCAGGAGGAACAUCCGUGGCGAAGGCGACUACCUGGACCAGCACUGACACUGAGGCACGAAAGCGUGGGGAGC
RNAcentral lists this ribosomal RNA (419 nucleotides) under uncultured bacterium. RNAcentral's name for it is "bacterial SSU rRNA". It matches the Rfam family "Bacterial small subunit ribosomal RNA", at positions 358 to 769 of the family's 1533-position model. The record is from RNAcentral.